AUGAUUUAUAAACAACUUUAUCAAGAGGUUUAUUGUACAGAGAGCAGAGGGAUAAAAUGGGAGUUAAAGGGAAUAAGGGCUAAGGACAUGGUUACUGUCCGGGGGCGUAGCAAUAAACUCAAAGGGUGCUGUCAGGUGGGAGAUGGGCAGUCCUUGUGCUUUAAAAAAAUUACCUAUUCAGUUUUUAGUACGCUUAUCAAGGAUCUUAUAUUUGUUAAAUGUGAGUCUAUAAUGCAUCUGAAGCUUCCUGGAACAUGUAUGUCAUGGGUCUAACUUAUAAGCAUGAUCUCUAAUGUGCUGCUCAAAUUUGGAUAUUUCCCUGGAAUUUGAUCCUAUUGGCUGGAGUCUGGAACAAAGGGGAGAGAGCUUGGAAGCAGAGGUAGAACCCCAGCAGAGACAGGUUAGAAGUUGAUAUUUAUGUUGACAGUACAGAUGUUAACCAGGACAUCUGGUCAACCUAGUUAUAAAAUCUUUGACCUUUAUAGAAGUAGAAAGGAAUGUACCCAGUUCACCCUUUUGUGGUGUGUGUGAUGUGUGUGAUGUGGAGUGUGAGAAUGUUCUCAAGGACAAAGGGAGCCAAGUCUGAGUUUGCCUGCUUAGUUUACCUUACACAGAGUUGGAGAGAACUGGGAGACUCAGGCAAAAGGACCCAGAAGACACAGCCCCUGCGGACACCAAUGGAUUCUCCCCAGGCUGCCUUUGGGUGAGCCCCACACCUCUCUGUGUGUAGCAGGAAGUUUGGGCCCAUGAAGCAUCUGAGCAUCAUGUAAGCAAAUCUCUGCACCAUGGCAACAGAGCCAGUCUCUAGAAUUUGAAGAAAAAGUUCACUAAGACAAACAGGGUUUUUCUACACUUCAAUUUCCUGUCACAAUCGUCGCAGCACAGAAAGCAAAAUCCAGCAGUUAUUUUUAAAGAUGUAAAAAACUUACAAUUUUUAAAAUCGUUUUUAUGUCUUUUUCUGCUCUGUUACAGAACUGUCACUAGGCCUAAGUAGCCAGAAUUUGCAAACGAGCAUUGGUGGCAGCGUUAUAGAGGUGAGAGUUAGGAAAAGGUUUUCAGUACGAAGCUCUCUUUAAUAUCCGGCCAGGAUAGCAAGGGGACAGGAUGUUUCCUGGCUAAGCUCUCUCGAGUCCACCAUAAUUGGGUUUUAUGACAUUGUGUUGAGUGGCGGUUCCCACCGCGGCAGCCUUUUCCUAACAUGGUGGUGCACAGGCUCUCUGAUUUUAUUCCUGCUCACCUCUGCAGCCUCAUCUCCAUCCCGCGCUGGACUCGU
RNAcentral lists this long non-coding RNA (1273 nucleotides) under Oryctolagus cuniculus (rabbit). Its description in RNAcentral is "lncRNA (ENSOCUG00000032032.1)". Lineage: Eukaryota; Metazoa; Chordata; Mammalia; Lagomorpha; Leporidae. The record is from RNAcentral.